GACGAACGCUGGCGGCGUGCUUAACACAUGCAAGUCGAACGGAAAGGCCUCUUUCGGGGGGUACUCGAGUGGCGAACGGGUGAGUAACACGUGAGUAACCUGCCCUUGACUUUGGGAUAACUUCAGGAAACUGGGGCUAAUACCGGAUAGGAGCUCCUGCUGCAUGGUGGGGGUUGGAAAGUUUCGGCGGUUGGGGAUGGACUCGCGGCUUAUCAGCUUGUUGGUGGGGUAGUGGCUUACCAAGGCUUUGACGGGUAGCCGGCCUGAGAGGGUGACCGGCCACAUUGGGACUGAGGUACGGCCCAGACUCCUACGGGAGGCAGCAGGGGGGAAUAUUGCACAAGGGGUGGAAGCCUGAUGCAGCAACGCCGUGUGCGGGAUGACGGCCUUCGGGUUGUAAACCGCUUUCGCUCAUGACGAAGCUUUGUGUGACGGUAGUGGGUAAAGAAGCACCGGCUAACUACGUG
Molecule: ribosomal RNA, 467 nt
Filed under: uncultured bacterium
Lineage: Bacteria
Description: partial 16S ribosomal RNA
Rfam family: Bacterial small subunit ribosomal RNA
Source: RNAcentral